CCGAGUUGCAAAACUCCCAAACCCACUGUGAACCUGUACCACUGUUGCUUCGGCGGAACCGCCCCGGGCGCACCUCCUCACGGGGGCGUGCCCCGGAACCAGGCGCCCGCCGGGGGACCGAAACCUCUGUAUUUUUUACUUGAGUACUCUGAGUGUGAUUUACAAAAUCAAAAUUA
RNAcentral lists this unclassified non-coding RNA (176 nucleotides) under uncultured Gliomastix. RNAcentral's name for it is "sequence contains ITS1". Lineage: Eukaryota; Fungi; Ascomycota; Sordariomycetes; Hypocreales; Bionectriaceae. The record is from RNAcentral.